AAAACGGUUCUUUUCAGAGCCACAAAUUAUUUGACGCAGGAACAAU
Non-coding RNA from Lasius niger, 46 nucleotides. NCBI's taxonomy places the organism in Eukaryota, Metazoa, Arthropoda, Insecta, Hymenoptera, Formicidae. The record is from Rfam.